GGAGCAUGUUGCUUAAUUCGAGGCAACGCGAAGAACCUUACCUGGGUUUGACAUUUAGGGAAAAGCCACAGAGAUGUGGUGUCCUUCGGGGCCCUAAACAGGUGGUGCAUGGCUGUCGUCAGCUCGUGUCGUGAGAUGUUGGGUUAAGUCCCGCAACGAGCGCAACCCUUAUCCUAUGUUGCCAGCACGUAAUGGUGGGGACUCGUGGGAGACUGCCGGGGUCAACUCGGAGGAAGGUGGGGACGACGUCAAGUCAUCAUGCCCCUUAUGUCCAGGGCUGCAAACAUGCUACAAUGGCCGGUACAGAGGGCUGCGAGACCGCGAGGUUGAGCGAAUCCCACAAAGCCGGUCUCAGUUCGGAUUGGAGUCUGCAACUCGACUCCAUGAAGCCGGAGUCGCUAGUAAUCCCGGAUCAGCAACGCCGGGGUGAAUACGUUCCCGGGCCUUGUACACACCGCCCGUCACACCACGAAAGUCUGCAACACCCGAAGCCAGUGGCCCAACCCGCAAGGGAGGGAGCUGUCGAAGGUGGGGUCGGCGAUUGGGGUG
RNAcentral lists this ribosomal RNA (549 nucleotides) under uncultured Actinomycetes bacterium. Its description in RNAcentral is "bacterial SSU rRNA". It matches the Rfam family "Bacterial small subunit ribosomal RNA", at positions 934 to 1482 of the family's 1533-position model. Lineage: Bacteria; Bacillati; Actinomycetota; Actinomycetes. The record is from RNAcentral.